CUGUCCAUCAUUACUACCUGCUUAAGUACGCCGGGAUCUCUGUAGACUAAGUCAGUCAUCCUGUAGGCCCCACUGCCCACGCUGUGCCAAUAGCUGGUGUGCUUUUUCUCAGUCUUGAUGGGACCGUUUUACUCACCUGUCAGCCCAGAGCGCAGCGUUGCGCAGUCCGAAGCGAGAGAAGGGCGCGGCCCCCGCGGGCUCCCGCCCCUCUCACUGCCGAGGGGGCCUUUCGGAGCUCGGGCCCACCGGGUUGGAAGGCCCGGCUCCUCCGUGCCACAUUCACCACCAUCUCGAGGCCGUGGGAGGAAAAACCCGGCGAGUGCGCGCCAGCAGCAGCGACUAGCGGGGAACGGCGCGCAGGAAGGCAGGCAGAGGCUUGCAGCUAGUAAGUCGACACCGGGAAUGCGGCGGGGAGAAAGGGCGCUGAAGCCGCG
RNAcentral lists this long non-coding RNA (434 nucleotides) under Homo sapiens (human). RNAcentral describes it as "non-protein coding lnc-TRNAU1AP-1:1". Lineage: Eukaryota; Metazoa; Chordata; Mammalia; Primates; Hominidae. The record is from RNAcentral.